ACUGCUCACCCGCCUGAUCUCUAUGGUCUCCGUCUGCGCAUGUGUGGCAUAGGCCCCACCUCUCCCUUUCCUCCCGCGCGGGCCACGUGAGGAGAUUCUGGAGCCUUCAGGUUGUCCCCAGUGCGCAAGCAGCAGGACGAGGCCCAGGACUUUUCGGGCCUGCACGUUUGCUGAGAGUGGUGUUUCUGUGGAGGGGGCAGAAGGUGGACGUCUUAGGAAGCCUUGCCACCCAGUCGGGACCCCACAGGGACUCCGCAGUGCCUGGGUGUGGCCUGGACCUCGCCCGGGAAAGCUGAAUCUUCACAGGCCUCUCUAAUGUCUGAAGUGCUCCAGAAAAUGAAUCUAUUUGAGGAUCUCCAGUUUUCUUCCAUAUUACAUUAUUCCUCUUACACUGUCAUGGCCAUGAUUGGAAGUUGCUGUUCAGAGUCUUAUUUAAACUCCUGUACAUGGAGAAUCCAGGAUGCAGUUUUACAAAACCAGAGGUAGUCUUCAAGUUGGAGCAAUGGAAAGGUCCAUUGUUAUUAGAGGAAGAAUUUCCAAGCAGGAGUCAUGCAGGGUGAUAGUCCAGGUUGCUGAUGCCACCACCAUAAUUCAUCACCAGAGAUGGAGAAACUCUGUACCAUGAUGCCAGCUGGGCAAGGAAGAUCACUUUGCUGAAUGCUGGCAGGACUGAUUCAGUAGUUAUGCGGGCUCUGAGCUCCUGUGGCUGCCUUUAGCAUCUGGAUGCUGUAACUUGGAAGUUUGGCUAAGAUAUUUUUGUGAAGUCUACUUCUACAGUGUGGAGCGGUGUGAAACCUCAGAGGAUACAUGAAUAGGUCCAUAAACCUCACAUUGUCACCCUGGAAAUGGAACUUCAUAUGGCUGUCGGGGAGCUGCCCAAAAAGCCACCUACAAGGGAUCCUAGGAAGGCUGGCUGUGUACCUCCUGGGUAAUCAACAGUUACGCAGACAAGCACAUUACACUCCAUGGGAGCUGUCCUUUCAGGAACUUGGUUUUGAACUGUAGAGGCUCCCACUGUGUCUUCUGAAGGUCAUGAUAAAAAAUCCUGUCUACUGAGAAUGUGAGAGAGAGAUUUUGAUGGACAGUAAAUACAUCAUUUUAGAAGUGUGCUUUGGUAUCAGUUGAUCAGCUUUUGCCUCACCUGUUUUGAUAAGGAUUCUCAUAAUGAUAAAUAUAUCAAUUCUCCAAAAGACAGCAAUUUUAAAUGUGUAUGCGCCUAACAAAAAGGAUUUCAAAAUGCAGAUCCUGCUACCCACCUCCCCCAACGACAACUUGGCAUUCAUCCACAGACACAGGUGACUUUCUGGGAGAUGAGAUUUCAGCACCACGUACCAAGGGUCCUUGGAGGAGUCUUGCCCAUCCAUGUGGAAGGAAUUGGUCCUGCCUGUGGACACUGUAGUAGCCCAUGAAUCUGCUCCAGCUCUGCUCAGCUGGGCUCCAGAAGUCCCUAAAGAACACUGAUUCUGACAAUCACUCAUGGGGCCACACAGAUCUGAGUCGAGUCUGAGACU
Molecule: long non-coding RNA, 1511 nt
Organism: Phacochoerus africanus (Common warthog)
Lineage: Eukaryota; Metazoa; Chordata; Mammalia; Artiodactyla; Suidae
Exons: 11
Source: RefSeq, a predicted model, not a curated record